RNAcentral lists this ribosomal RNA (800 nucleotides) under uncultured bacterium. RNAcentral describes it as "bacterial SSU rRNA". It matches the Rfam family "Bacterial small subunit ribosomal RNA", at positions 8 to 842 of the family's 1533-position model. The record is from RNAcentral.
AGAGUUUGAUCCUGGCUCAGGAUGAACGCUGGCGGCGUGCCUUAGGCGUGCAAGUCGAGCGCACUGAAAAAUCGCAAGAUUUUUUAGUGAGCGGCAGACGGGUGAGGAACACGUGGGAAUCUACCCUUUGGUCGAGGAUAGCUCGCCGAAAGGCGGGGUAAUCCUAGAUAAGCCCGCGAGGGCAAAGGUCAUAACUGACCGCCGAUGGAGGAGCCUGCGUCCUAUCAGCUUGUUGGUGGGGUAACGGCCUACCAAGGCGAUGACGGGUAGCUGAUCUGAGAGGAUGGUCAGCCACAAGGUCACUGAGACACGGGGCCUACACCUACGGGUGGCAGCAACCGGGAAUCUUGCGCAAUGGGCGAAAGCCUGACGCAGCGACGCCGCGUGAGGGAUGAAGGCUUUAGGGUCGUAAACCUCUUUUUAGCUAAUGUCGAAUUAAUUAGAAUAAGCACCUGCAAACUCCGUGCCAGCAGCCGCGGUAAUACGGAGGGUGCGAGCGUUAUCCGGAUUUAUUGGGCGUAAAGGGUUUCGUAGGCGGUUUGGUAAGUAAUGGGUCAAAGCUCCAGGCUCAACCUGGGAAAGGCUUAUUAAACUACCAGACUAGAAAGCUGUCGGGGAGGCUGGAAUUCUGCAAGUAGGGGUGAAAUCCGUUGAGAUGCAGAAGAACACCAAGGGCGAAGGCAGGCCUCUAGGCAGAUUUUGACGCUCAGGAACGAAAGCUAGGGGAGCGAAUGGGAUUAGAGACCCCAGUAGUCCUAGCCGUAAACAAUCCUUGCUAGUUGUCCCGAGUCUAACUUGGG